GUGGGNGACCUGCCCANUAGUUGGGAUAACUCCGGGAAACCGGGGCUAAUACCGGAUAACAUUUUGAACCGCAUGGUUCGAAAUUGAAAGGCGGCUUCGGCUGUCACUUAUGGAUGGACCCGCGUCGCAUUAGCUAGUUGGUGAGGUAACGGCUCACCAAGGCAACGAUGCGUAGCCGACCUGAGAGGGUGAUCGGCCACACUGGGACUGAGACACGGCCCAGACUCCUACGGGAGGCAGCAGUAGGGAAUCUUCCGCAAUGGACGAAAGUCUGACGGAGCAACGCCGCGUGAGUGAUGAAGGCUUUCGGGUCGUAAAACUCUGUUGUUAGGGAAGAACAAGUGCUAGUUGAAUAAGCUGGCACCUUGACGGUACCUAACCAGAAAGCCACGGCUAACUACGUGCCAGCAGCCGCGGUAUACGUAGGUGGCAAGCGUUAUCCGGAAUUAUUGGGCGUAAAGCGCGCGCAGGUGGUUUCUUAAGUCUGAUGUGAAAGCCCACGGCUCAACCGUGGAGGGUCAUUGGAAACUGGGANACUUGAGUGCAAAANAGGAAAGUGGAAUUCCAUGUGUANCGGUGAAAUGCGUANAGAUAUGGAGGAACACCAGUGGCGAAGGCGACUUUCUGGUCUGUAACUGACACUGANGCGCGAAANCGUGGGGGAGCAAACANGAUUANNACCCUGGNNAGUCCNCGCCGUAAACGAUGAGUGCUAAGUGUUANAGGGUUUCCNCCCCUUUAGUGCUGAA
RNAcentral lists this ribosomal RNA (749 nucleotides) under Bacillus cereus. Its description in RNAcentral is "partial 16S ribosomal RNA". It matches the Rfam family "Bacterial small subunit ribosomal RNA", at positions 117 to 850 of the family's 1533-position model. Lineage: Bacteria; Bacillati; Bacillota; Bacilli; Caryophanales; Bacillaceae. The record is from RNAcentral.